RNA transcript from Rattus norvegicus (Norway rat), 8046 nucleotides. It is a transcript of the gene named sperm associated antigen 17, with no coding region annotated. Lineage: Eukaryota; Metazoa; Chordata; Mammalia; Rodentia; Muridae. The record is from RefSeq and is marked validated.
ACUAUGGAAACGGGGGAAGCGGUUGACUUGAGGGUCAGGAACCGGUUUGGGGGAAGGGAGCGGGAUCCGUUCAGGAACUGGGCGUGGUCUCGGUUACCAAGGCAUCAGGGACGCUCAGACCUGGCCUCAGCCCAGUUUUGAGGCCAAUGAACCUCCCAUCCUUCUCAUGGCACCCAAGAAGGAGAAACCUACCGGGAGCACAAGCUAUAAGAUAUGGGAACCCUCACUCAUUGCUGCACAUAUGAACCAGAAUGAUUGGAAGGCCUCCAUCGCCUUCGUGGUUGGGAACCGAAUUGAGGAUGAGCUUCCCAUUCAUGCCCUCAACCUGGCUGUCCAACUGCCUCAGCGGAAACUCUUCAGUAUUGUGUCAUGGAAAGACAUUCUGCAGCAGAUCAAUGAAAUACAGGCCCUUGUUGGAGCUACUACUAAAAAGGGGAAGAAGACCAUAACUGGCAACUUACCAUUACACUAUGAGGUGUUGCUGGCAGCAAAAACAAUCAUGGACAAUGGAGAGAAGCUGACCUUACCAUUGGUAGGGAAACUCUUGAAAUUUCAACUCCUGCAGAUUAAAACCAAGGACCAGCAGAGGCGAGAAAACGAAAAGAAGAUGAUAGAAGAAAGAGCAAAGUCGGAGAAGGACAAAGGAAAAGGGAAGUCUCCCAAGGAGAAGAAGGCCGCCACUGUUAAGGCUGGGAAGGGAAAGAGCAAGGACCAGCCCGAGGCCACCGUAACAGUGAAGAAGACCACGCAGUUAAAACGGAGGGGAGAAGAUGACGACACCAAAUUCUACAUCGACGAUGAGCCGGACGAUGGUGCCCAACAUUACGUUAUUGUUGUGGGCUUCAACCAUCCUCAGCUAUUGGCCAUUAUGACUGAACUUGGCAUUCCUAUUACCAGUGUGAUUAAAAUAUCUUCAGAGAAUUAUGAACCUCUGAAGACAUACCUGGCAGCAGUCAUGCAGCAACAGGAAGCUCUCCUUCAGCCGGAAGAUAUAGCAGCUGAAAAUUUGAAGAGAGAAAAUGACAUUAAGGAACUUGAGGUCUUCUGGAAGUACUUGGAACCAAUCCUGAAUAAUGAGAAGCCUGAAACAAAUCUCUUGGAUGUUGCUCGACUCCACUACAUGGUCAAGACAAAACAUUUCCCUUCUGACUGGUCAGACUAUGAGCAGAUGCUUGACCUAGGCACGGAGAUCUUUGAAAAUGUCGCCUGUUUGAUGUACGACAGCCUGGACUGGAAGAGGCAGCAUCAUCACUAUCUGCAAAGCAUGCAGCUCAUCAAUGUCCCACAAGUGGUUAGCGAUAAGACCAUGUUGGAAGCGAUCCCGAUUCCAGAGCCUCCACCAUCAACUGCUCCAGCCCCCGGAAAGAAGAAAGCACAGUAUGAGGAAUCACAUGCUCCCCCAUCAGUGGCUUUUAUCAUCACAACUGAAGUAGACAUGCGGUAUUACAAUGACCUGCUGAAUCCAAUUCCAGAGGAAUUUAUUUCAGUGCCCCUGAUACUGCACUGUAUGCUGGAACAGGUUAUAGCAACGGAAGAGGAUCUCACCCCGCCGAGUUUGGUGGAGCCAGCCCCCAGAGCAGAUGGGUUAGACUACAGAAUCGCAGCUCACAUCGUGUCCAUCCUGCCUUCCCUCUGCCUCACUGAGAAGGAAAAGAAGAAUCUCCACGAGAUAUUCUUAACUGAAGGAGAGAGCGAAAGCAAAACCCCACCCAAAGGCCCUCUCCUGCUGAACUACCACGACACGUAUGCCCACAAGAAGUACGCGCUGAAGGACCAAAAGAAUUUUGACCCGGUUCAAAUUGAGGAGGAGAUGCAAUCCAAGCUGCCACUGUGGGAAUUCCUUCAGUUCCCUCUGCCGCCUCCGUGGAACAGCACUAAACGGCUUGCCACCAUUCAUGAACUGAUGCAUUUCUGUACCAACGAAGUUCUGAGCUGGAAUGAAGUAGAACGAGCCUUCAAGGUAUUUACUUUUGAAAGCCUGAAGCUCUCAGAGGUGGAUGAGGCAGGACGGCUCAAGCCCACCGAGGUGAUCAGUGAGACAAAUGUUGAAAAUGUCAACAUUCCUUGGGACAAUCCUGCCAGGUUCGCUAAGCUGAUAAGACAGCGGUACAUCCACAGGAUGAGCAUACAGAAGGCCAAGCCAGUAUUAGUAGAAACCGAACACAAAGACAGAACACUAUUCGUGAACCAGAAUUUUGCCAAAGCUGAGCAAGAUGCACAAGGAGAUGAAAACUCCCCAAAUUGUGAUCAUCCUGCUGCUAACAAUGUGAUGGGGUCUACUUCCAACUCCACGAGACCCCGGUAUUCUAGUGAUAGACAGCUCACAGAGAAAGAGACCAGUGGGUCCAUGUGUCCCCAACCAGAGUCUGUGGAGCAGAUCAUGGACACUGAGAUCAAAGGUGGAGCAGCCACAAAGGAUGAUUCUCUUGAAAAGAAACCCAAGAAGAUGGUGGUGGAGGCCGACAUAGAGGACAUUAAAAAAACACAACAGCGCAGUUUAAUGGACUGGAGCUUUACUGAACAUUUUCAGCCGAAAGUCCUGCUUCAGGUUCUUCAGGAGGCUCAUCAGCAGUACCGAUGUGUUGACUCGUACUACCACACGCAGGACAAUUCCUUACUUCUCGUCUUUCAUAACCCAAUGAAUCUACACCAUCUGCAUUGUGAAUAUUGGAAUAUUGCUCUUCAUUCCAACGUUGGAUUCAGGAAUUACUUAGAACUUGUUGCAAAAUCUAUUGAAGAAUGGGUCAUACAGGAAGAAGCAAAGUACCAGGAAGCCAAAAUGGCUGAGGAGCUCAACAGAGCCAAGAAUGAGUUGGACUUGAAAGCUACUACUGCCAAAACUUCUGCUAGCAAAAUUGGUGGCCCCAAAAAAUCUAAAAGUAACAAAGUGUCCAGCAAAACAGAGCUAACAGACCAAGAAAAAGAUAAAGAGAAAGAGAAAGAAAAAGAGAAAGACAAGAUCCCCUUCAUAUUAGAAGGCUCUCUCAAGGCAUGGAAGGAAGAACAAGAGAGGUUGGCUGAGGAGGAACGCCUGAAGGAGGAAAAGAAGGCAGAGAAGAAGGGGAAGGAAGCAGGUAGAAAGAAAGGCAAGGAUAAGGCAGACAAAGAAGACACUAAGAGUUUGAAAAAAAAGUCGUCUUCCAAGGAGAAACCUAAGGAAGAACCAUCUAAGUCGCUGGAAGCAAUAGAGGAAGCCGUCCCACUUCCAGAACCGGAAAUUGUUUACCCGUUCCGAGGAUACAAUAUGGGAGACAUUCCUAUCCAAAUCUCAGGGACAAAUUACUAUCUGUAUCCUUCUGACGGUGGGCAGAUUGAAGUGGAAAAGAUCAGGUUUGAACGAGGCCCAACUUUCAUCAAAGUGAAAGUAAAAAAAGAUAAACACAGUUUUAUAAUUCACCUGAAAGAUCCAAAGGAAAUCGUGAAAAGGGAAAAGGAAGAGGAGCACUCAGAAGAAGAGGAAGAGGAAGAGGAGGAGGAAGAGGAAGAGGAAGAGGAAGAGAAUGAACAGAAGGAAGGGAAAGAGGAGAAUGUUAAACAAAAUGUGGAAAUGAAGAGAACACAGAUAAAGAAGGAAGCUGUCAGCAAGUUUGGAUCCUUUUCUGCCACCUUAGAAAAUGGAAUCUGCCUCUCCAUAAGUUACUAUGGAUCAAAUGGAAUGGCGCCAGAGGUUAUGGAUUCUGAUUUGGAAGCAAUGAUGAAUAUCCCUUCAGCUAUGACAGCAACAGUGGUUCCCUCUAUAGUUACUGUUCCCCAAGGCAAAGGCAAAACUAAGCCGAAGGGCAAAGAAAAACACAAAGAUUCCUUUAAAGAAGAGGAACUUCCAAAAGAAGAAGAAAAGAAGAAUCACUCACAGGAAGAAGUAGAACCAGAGAUUGUUAUACAGGAAACACCUUAUGUGCCCACCUUCCAAAACCUAAAUGUAUCUUGCCCCAAUGGGCUCCUGCUUACCUUCAUUGGGCAAGAAUCUACAGAUGAAGAAUCUACCUGGAACCUCAUGAUCCGCCAGAGCUACCCCCAGAGGUUGAAGCACUAUGAAUUCUAUAAAGCAGUGAUGCCACCCACAGAGCAGGAGGCAUCAAGAGUUGUCACCAGCCAGGGCACCGUUAUCAAGUAUAUGCUGGAUGGAUCCACACAGAUUCUUUUUGCAGAUGGUGCUGUGAGCAGCAGUCCUGACUCAGGUCCUGUUCAUGCAUCUCCUGAGACGUCUGCAAGCCCCCACAAUGGAGAUGUGGCAGACAACACUUCUCAGCAUAAAUCCGAAACAGCACCUUCUGAGAUCAUCACCAAGAAAGGAAAAGGUCACAAAAAUCAAACAUCAACGGCAAGUAAGAGCGAAGCCCAUGAUACUCUCCCAGAAGUGGUUCCAACUCCUAUGGAGUCCCACACUGGCACCUGGUUUACAACAACGCCUGAUGGAAGGAGGAUCGGCACCAAAGGCCUAGAGAAAAUCACCAACUUGAAACCAUUUUUAUUCUUCCAGGCUACAGAUCCCAUCAAUGGAACGGUCAUGACUACUCGAGAAGACAAGGUGAUCAUUGUUGAGAAGAAGGACGGGACCCGGAUCGUGGACCAUGCCGAUGGUACCAGAAUCACAACCUUUUACCAAGUGUAUGAAGAUCAUAUUACUCCCCCAAAUGAUGAAGAAACAACCGAAGAUCCAAGGACUGUCACUAGACAGGUGAAGUGCAUGCGGAUAGAAAGCUCGCACUAUGCCACUAUUAUCACGAACUGCGAGGACAGUAGCUGCUGUGCCACUUUUGGGGACGGAACAUCUAUUAUUGCAAAGCCACAGGGAUCAUACCAGGUGCUACCUUCAAACACAGGCUGCCUUUAUAUCGACAAAGACUGCUCGGCCACAUAUUGCCAUGAAUUGAGCAGUAAUAUGUACCAUCCCUUCCAGAAGCGUGAAGAGCUGAGAGCCAGCAGGUACAUCAUGAAGCACACCUCAGAGGUGAUCUGUGAGGUCCAGGAUCCCGAGGGGAACAUCUUUAAGGUCAUGGCUGAUGGCUCUGUAUCAACAGCGUUACCUAAAAAGAAGCUAGAAGACAAGUUGAAUGUACAGACGGAGGGCUACGAAAGCUUAUCAUCACUUCACCUUGAAAAGAAUCGCAUGCAGAUCUAUGGUGAACAUGUUCCCAGAUUUUUUGUUGUCUAUACUGAUGGAUCAGGAGUGGAACUUCUCCGAGACAGUGACAUAGAAGAAUACUUAUCCUUGGCCUAUGGAGAGUCAACGACUGUGGUUCUCCAGGAACCAGUACAGGAACACCCAGGUGCCCUGAGCAUCACAGUCCUUCGCCCUUUCCAUGAGGCAUCACAAUGGAUCAUGAAGAAGGAGCUGGACAGCAUCGUUCCUCCAAAUCUCCAGUCGAGAUCAUGGGAGACAUUUCCUUCAGUUGAGAAAAAGACUCCAGGACCACCAUUUGGCACUCAGAUUUGGAAAGGCCUCUGUAUUGGGGCUAAGCAGCUGACAAACAUCCCAGCUCCUAUACUUGAAGGCCCCAAGGUGCUACAGAUGCGUCAGUUCAUCCAGCACGAAGUCAUAAAGAACGAGGUGAAACUGAAGCUGCAAAUUUCCCUGAAGGACUAUAUAAACCACAUCCUGAAGAAAGAAGAUGAGCAACAAGAGAUGACAGUCAAGGAUUCCAGAACGGAGGAGGAGAGAGGCAAUGCUGCAGAUCUCCUCAAGCUGGUUAUGUCUUUCCCUAAAAUGGAGGAAACUACAAAAAGUCACGUGACUGAAGUUGCUGCCCACCUAACAGAUUUAUUCAAGCAAUCUAUGGCUUCGGCUCCAAAAUGUUCACCAGAAAACUUCACUAAAGAUUUCUUUGAAAAGAAGUGGAGGGAGGCUCCACAAGGAAAGAGUUGGAAAGAAAAGCUUGAGCAACAGAGGAACAAUAUUAAGAAAACACAAAAUUACCUAAUGCAAAUUAGGACAAAAGAAGUAACGCCUUAUUUUAAGUCUGAAUUGAGCCCAUUGAUUAAGUCACAGUAUGAUUAUCUGGAGAAGCUUUCCAAAAACCUGCCUCCGUUUACAAAGAAAAAUGAGGCUGAAACCAAGACAGCUGACCCAGAUCUUCACUCAGAUUCUACACUGACUGUAGAUGCAAAAAAAGAAGUCUCAGAUGCACAUCCCCUUCCAAACCAGGAGGUUGCUGAGAAUAGCCAGGAAUCUACUGGCCAAAAGGAAACUGAAUAUGUAACCAAAUAUCUCCAGACCUCUUCUCCCCCAAACCAAUAUGAACAUUUAACAAAAUCUCCCAAGGAGUCAUAUAGUCAAAGUCAAAGUGAAAUUGAAACCAACGCUACCAAGGAACCUGCUGGCCAGAACCACACUGAAAAGUUUAAAAUUUCUACCAAGAAGUCUGCUAGCCAAAACCAAAUUGAAAAUCUAAUAAAAUCUACCAAGGAGCCUGCUGGUCAAAGCCAAAUGGAAAAUAUCUCCAGACCGCCUACUGAAGAACCAGAAAAUUUUAUGCCAAUCAAAAUUCCAACCCAGUCAUUGCUGCAGGAUGUUACUGGAAAAGCAAGAAAAGAGAAAGUGAGGUUACCUCAUUACAUGAUGAGCUGCAAGCCCAAGUGUCAGCCUCACACCAAGGUGGAAGAUUCUGUUGGAGGAAAAGUGAACACAUCCUCCAUUGCAUGUGCUGCUAUUUAUAACCCAGACGUAUCCCCUUUCGGGUUCCACCUUCUCCCACCAUCAAUACAGUUUGGAGUGCUUAAAGAAGGACACACCUAUGCAACGAUUGUGAAGCUCAAGAAUGUUGGUGUGGACUUCUGCAGGUUUAGAGUGAAGCAGCCCCCACCCAGCACGGGACUGAAAGUGACAUAUAAACCUGGGCCUGUGGCUGCUGGCUUGCAAGCAGAGCUAAAGGUAGAGCUAUUUGCCAUGGCUGUUGGAGAAGACGGCGCCAAGGACUCAGCACACAUCUCCCACACCAUUGAAAUCCUGACGGAGCACGAUGUUCUAUUCUUACCCGUGGAGGCAACAGUUUUAACAAGCAGUAACUAUGACAAUCGACCAAAAGAUCUUCCCCAGGGAAGAGAAAAUCCCAUGGUCUACAGGACUUCCACAAUCUCCUCCUCUGCACUUGGAGUCGUCAUGUCUCAGAAGGCCACUCGUCAUUAGUUCUAGGACAGAUUUAUCUUGCCCAGCUUCAGAGGUUUCAGUACAUCAUACACGUGAUAAUGAUGAUCACAGCAGCAUGCUAAAGCAGUUGAGUUUGUAACACAGUGGCCCAGGAGGCAGAGACAGGAAGUGGUCAGAAAGAGCAGUCAGUGACUGACUUCCUCCAGCAAAGCCCCACCUUAGAAAGUUUUCACAUUCCCCAAAGCAGCACCACCGUCCAAUCAUGAUCCUCCGAGGAAUAUCACAUAUUCAAAUCAUGACAUCUUACCCCAAAUAUUCAUGCUACUCCAUAAGUUUCUUCUCGGUACAGCUCAAUUGCCUCCAUGAUCCUCUCAGCCUACACAGACGACAAAGGAAGAGAUCACCCAGUGCACACCCACGACACCCAAGAGCUGGGAAGGCCUGGCUAAUGUAGCCUGAAUCAGCUUAAUAAAGACAUGGCAGCCGGAGUGCAGCGCAGCACUUAGAGUUGUCGGUUUUCUCUUAUUUUUAAUUUGUAAGAAAGAGACCAAAUACCAUGGACUCAGACGAGACCAUAUGGGACACAAUAGGGCAGCUCCUGGGAACACCGAAGAGAUGAGCUCCCCUACUGCCCCAUGCUGGUCAGACCAAGUCCAAGGGCAUCAGACAAAGGCAAUGAGCAACUCCUGGAAUUCAUCUACUUUGUGCCACACAGAGCUAUGUGGCUAACACAGGGUAAGGAUUUUACUAAAAAGUCAGAAACCCAUUAUAAGAGCCAACCUACCGCUUUGACUGUUUCAAUUGUCUUCUUCCCAGUGAAGUAGUUGUCACCCUGGGUCUCCCCUGGAACCUGCCAGACAUAUGAGAUCCUGAACAAGACGGGUAUUAUUUUAUAAAAAUGCCACAGUCACUAUCUCCCAUUAAGGAUAGGUACAAUAUUAAAUGUUUUAUUUGUAUCA